GACGAACGCUGGCGGCGUGCUUAACACAUGCAAGUCGAACGGAAAGGCCCCUUUGGGGGUACUCGAGUGGCGAACGGGUGAGUAACACGUGCGUAACCUGCCCUUGACUUCGGGAUAACUUCAGGAAACUGGGGCUAAUACCGGAUAGGAAUCCUUGCUGCAUGGUGGGGGUUGGAAAGCUUCGGCGGUUUUGGAUGGACUCGCGGCUUAUCAGCUUGUUGGUGGGGUAGUGGCUUACCAAGGCUUUGACGGGUAGCCGGCCUGAGAGGGCGACCGGCCACAUUGGGACUGAGAGACGGCCCAGACACCUACGGGAGGCAGCAGUGGGGAAGAUUGCACAAUGGGCGGAAGCCGGAUGCAGCAACGCCGCGGGCGGGAUGACUGCCUUCGGGUUGUAAACCGCUUUCAGCAGGGGCGAAGCUUGUGGUGACGGUACCUGCAGAAGAAGCACCGGCUAACUACGUG
This 465-nucleotide ribosomal RNA is filed under the name uncultured bacterium. RNAcentral describes it as "partial 16S ribosomal RNA". It matches the Rfam family "Bacterial small subunit ribosomal RNA", at positions 28 to 507 of the family's 1533-position model. The record is from RNAcentral.